RNAcentral lists this transfer RNA (88 nucleotides) under Hypoxylon sp. CO27-5. It matches the Rfam family "tRNA". From Rfam's summary of the family: Transfer RNA (tRNA) molecules are approximately 80 nucleotides in length. Their secondary structure includes four short double-helical elements and three loops (D, anti-codon, and T loops). Lineage: Eukaryota; Fungi; Ascomycota; Sordariomycetes; Xylariales; Hypoxylaceae. The record is from Rfam by way of RNAcentral.
GGCUCAGUAGCUAAGUGGUCACAGCGCAUCGUUCGGGUUACUGAGUUGAAGAUCGAUGAGGUCCUGGGUUCGAAUCCCAGCUGAGCCC